This 71-nucleotide transfer RNA is filed under the name Amphiura sinicola. RNAcentral describes it as "tRNA-Thr". It matches the Rfam family "tRNA". Rfam says of the family: Transfer RNA (tRNA) molecules are approximately 80 nucleotides in length. Their secondary structure includes four short double-helical elements and three loops (D, anti-codon, and T loops). The record is from RNAcentral. Lineage: Eukaryota; Metazoa; Echinodermata; Ophiuroidea; Amphilepidida; Amphiuridae.
AAGCCUUAAAAGCUAUUAGCGGUUUACCUUGUAAGUAAAAAGAAAUCAGUUAAAAUCUGGUUUAAGGCUUG